Molecule: ribosomal RNA, 260 nt
Filed under: uncultured bacterium
Lineage: Bacteria
Description: partial 16S ribosomal RNA
Rfam family: Bacterial small subunit ribosomal RNA
Source: RNAcentral
ACCGGCGGACGGGCGCGUAACGCGUAUGCAACCUGCCUGACACAGGGGGAUAAUCCGAAGAAAUUUGGUCUAAUACCCCAUAAUACCGAUAUAGGCAUCUAUGUUGGUUGAAAGCUUUGGUGGUGUCAGAUGGGCAUGCGUUGUAUUAGUUAGUUGGUGAGGUAACGGCUCACCAAGGCGACGAUACAUAGGGGGACUGAGAGGUUAACCCCCCACACUGGUACUGAGACACGGUCCAAACUCCUACGGGAGGCAGCAUG